GCCUUAAUUGGCUUAUAACUAUAUCCACUUACACCUGUGAACUGUUCUACUACUUGACGCAAGUCGAGUAUUUUUACAAACAAUGUGUAAUGAACGUCGUUUUAUUAUAACAAAAUAAAACUUUCAACAACGGAUCUCUUGGCUCUCGCAUCGAUGAAGAACGCAGCGAAUUGCGAUAAGUAAUGUGAAUUGCAGAAUCCAGUGAAUCAUCGAAUCUUUGAACGCAGCUUGCGCUCUCUGGUAUUCCGGAGAGCAUGCCUGUUUCAGUGUCAUGAAAUCUCAACCACUAGGGUUUCCUAAUGGAUUGGAUUUGGGCGUCUGCGAUUGUCUAAUCGCUCGCCUUAAAAGAGUUAGCAAGUUUGACAUUAAUGUCUGGUGUAAUAAGUUUCACUGGGUCCAUUGUGUUGAAGCGUGCUUCUAAUCGUCCGCAAGGACAAUUACUUUGACUCUGGCCUGAAAUCAGGUAGGACUACCCGCUGAACUUAAACAUAUCAACAAGCGGAGGAAAAGAAACUAACAAGGAUUCCCCUAGUAACGGCGAGUGAAGCGGGAAGGGCUCAAAUUUGGAAUCUGGCAGUCUUCGAUUGUCCGAGUUGUAAUCUAUAGAGGCGUUUUCCGUGCUGGACCGUGUACAAGUCUCCUG
RNAcentral lists this ribosomal RNA (643 nucleotides) under uncultured Basidiomycota. RNAcentral describes it as "partial 18S ribosomal RNA". The stretch from base 119 to 272 matches the Rfam family "5.8S ribosomal RNA". Lineage: Eukaryota; Fungi; Basidiomycota. The record is from RNAcentral.